AGCUUAGCAGCUAGUCCCCCAUCAAAAACAACUAUCCACAUCAAUACCCCCUAAUAUACGCAAUAACACUAAAACAAAACAUUUUUCCCCUCCAGUAUAGGUGAUAGAAAAAGGAAUAUGGAACGACAGAGAAAGUACCGCAAGGGAAUGCUGAAAGAGAAAUGAAACAACUCAGUACAAGCCUAAAAAAGCAGAGAUUAUUGCUCG
This 207-nucleotide ribosomal RNA is filed under the name Chelmon rostratus (copperband butterflyfish). RNAcentral's name for it is "partial 16S ribosomal RNA". The record is from RNAcentral. Lineage: Eukaryota; Metazoa; Chordata; Actinopteri; Chaetodontiformes; Chaetodontidae.